This 72-nucleotide transfer RNA is filed under the name Camelus bactrianus (Bactrian camel). It matches the Rfam family "tRNA". Rfam says of the family: Transfer RNA (tRNA) molecules are approximately 80 nucleotides in length. Their secondary structure includes four short double-helical elements and three loops (D, anti-codon, and T loops). Lineage: Eukaryota; Metazoa; Chordata; Mammalia; Artiodactyla; Camelidae. The record is from Rfam by way of RNAcentral. RNAcentral also lists the same sequence under 2 other names.
GAGAGGGUAACUCAGUGGUAGAGCGUAUGCUUAGCAUGCACGAGGUCCUGGGUACAAUCCCCAGUACUUCCA